AAGACAUAACUGAUUAUACAAGAGCAGAUAACAAGGGUUGGAGAUAUAGCUGAGAGGACCCAAUCCAGCUUUGCGUCAUACAUGAAGAAAGAAGAAAGUUCAUCGGUUACUUUUGUGAUGGAUCUGGUUGUUGAGUGCGGUGCAAUAGUAGGUAGUGAUGAAUAUUUCAUUGCUAAUGAAUUAUUUGUGAAGAGAGAGCAGAGAGAGAUGUUCCUGCACAUGACUGAAAGUGCUGCUCAUUUAGAUUGGUUGCGUAGGAAAUACAACACCAAGUAUGGACAUUAG
This 285-nucleotide ribosomal RNA is filed under the name Triticum aestivum (bread wheat). Its description in RNAcentral is "partial small subunit ribosomal RNA". The record is from RNAcentral. Lineage: Eukaryota; Viridiplantae; Streptophyta; Magnoliopsida; Poales; Poaceae.